UGCAAAGUUUUGAGUGUGUGUGUGUGUGUAUAUAUAUAUAUAUACACACACACACACACUCAAAACUUUGCAUA
Non-coding RNA from Pelobates cultripes (western spadefoot toad), 74 nucleotides. Lineage: Eukaryota; Metazoa; Chordata; Amphibia; Anura; Pelobatidae. The record is from the annotation of a GenBank genome assembly.